Molecule: long non-coding RNA, 1227 nt
Filed under: Homo sapiens (human)
Lineage: Eukaryota; Metazoa; Chordata; Mammalia; Primates; Hominidae
Description: HSALNT0383083
Source: RNAcentral
AGAUAGCCACUGGCUCCAUGAAGAGUCAGGAAGCUGGUGACAAAGAAAUCGGAGGGCUGGAGGGUAAAAGCAGGCGAAGGUGAUACUCAGAGGAGAAGGACACUGGAGAAGUCAGUCCUGAACCCACCAAUGAGGCUUGCCCUCUCUCACCUGCUGCCAUGUAAGAUGUGCCUGCUUCACCUUCCGCCAUGAUUGUCAGUUUCCUGAGGCCUCCCCAGCCAUGUGGAACUGCUUUUGUGAAGGAAGAGAAGGCCCCUGAACCAUCCAUGGACGGCAGUUAUCAAGUCUACAGAAACAUCAAAUGAAAGUUAUCUUACCAAGUGUUAUCAUCUCUACUCAAAAACUCUACUGGCAAGUAAAUCAGAAGAAAUGGGCUAAAAUUACAACAUGAAAAAUAUAAGUUAGGCAUGCAGGGAAGUUUCCUACCUUAGAGGGUUGGUACAUAUUGUUAAAUAUCUUGAGGUUAGUUGACAGCUUUUCCUUCCAAAUCUGUCUGUGGGGAGUGAUGAGGGAAGGAGAGAAAUGACUGACAUUUAUUGUUAAGAAGGAGCUGGAAGUCUCAUGCAUGGUAUCAUAUUAACAUCACAUAAGCCCAGCCAGGGAUGUAUUAAGAACCUUAUAUAUUCAGAAAAGAAUUCAGGAUUGUUUGAGUUGGAUACAUUAUCCCCCAAGGUAAUACUGUUAGGAAAUGGUGGGAUUGGCCUUAAACCUAGCCUCUGAUGUUCCACAUUAUCACAUUUUGAUUUUUAAGAUAUGCACCUGGAUUUGGAAAGUUUUAUUGGCUAUAGGACAAGCAGGGAGAUAGACAAAGUUAAUGCUCACAAAGUCCUUUUCAAUCCCAGACAUCUGUGAGUCUAUGAUAUGUAACAAAUUAUUUCCUCUGCAGACCCAAACCGUAGGCUACAUUGUACAUAUUUUUUCCUUGUUUUCAGCUGUCAGCUACUUGACUGCCCCUCAUGGCCACUUUUCAAGUCUUGAUUGCCAAGCAUUUAUUUUCUUUUUCCAGUUUGUCUGGAAGACAGAAUGCCUCAGGAAGGGAUUGUUGGGUUUUUCAUAUAAAGCACGUGAAAUAUCUGUAAUUAUGGAUUACAUUUUUGUACCCAAUAUAUGGCUGAAAGGAGUCCUGUGAUAGAAACUUUUAGAAGAUAAUUGAAUGUGUCAGCUGCAUCAAGAAAUUAUGUACUUGCUUCACUUCAACAAACUGUGAUAAAUAGUCUAUUGUCUGGA